ACUUAAUCAAGAAUUAAGUUUUUUUUAAAUUUUUUUGAAGUUUGUGUUAUUUUGUUAUUGUUCGUGAAUUUGAGUUUGAAAGCAUAAGGAACGAAGGAACAGUAAGGAAGAAAAAUCUCUCGAAACCGAAACGGACAUCAAAUUUCUCCAAAACUAAAGAAGAAAAAUUAAUUUGAUUGGCCUUGCAGAAGAAACAUCUUAGAAAUAAAAGAAAACGGACGAAAUCAAGUCCAUGCUAAAGGACGCAGCUUGGGAGGCCAGAUGCAAUUUAUAUUUAUAAACAUAAGGCAUAAUGCUAUUAUUUCAACAAUAAUAAAUAUAGGUACCUAUGUUUAUUUUUCUGUUCAAAA
Molecule: long non-coding RNA, 350 nt
Organism: Episyrphus balteatus (marmalade hoverfly)
Lineage: Eukaryota; Metazoa; Arthropoda; Insecta; Diptera; Syrphidae
Exons: 2
Source: RefSeq, a predicted model, not a curated record